Molecule: non-coding RNA, 1242 nt
Organism: Sarcophilus harrisii (Tasmanian devil)
Lineage: Eukaryota; Metazoa; Chordata; Mammalia; Dasyuromorphia; Dasyuridae
Source: the annotation of a RefSeq genome assembly
UGGAAUGAAAAGCAGUGCCCUGUAUCUCUGGAGCACAAGCUCAAGCUGUUUGUCCUGUGCAGAGGACUAACCUAGAAACACACCAUGAAAUUGAGGCUGAAUUGUAUUUUUUUUCUGACUCUUUUCCAAGGUGUCCAGUGUGAUGUGCAGCUGUUGGAAUCUGGGGGAGAUGUGAUUCAGCCUGGGGGUUCUCUGCGUCUCUCCUGCAAAACUUCUGGAUUUACCUUCAGUAACUAUUGGAUGGCUUGGGUUCGCCAGGCUCCAGGAAAGGGACUAGAAUGGGUUGCAAGCAUUAGCAAGGGUGGAAGCAGUACAUACUAUGCAGACUCUGUGAAAGGUCGAUUCACCAUCUCCAGAGAUGAUGGCAACAGCAUGUUACAUCUACAGAUGAAUUCUCUUAGUACUCAGGACACAGCUGUGUAUUACUGUGCAAGAGACACAGUGAGGAAAAAUAAUAUGAGACUAGACAGAAAUUUUCCCUGCCAGGAAGUAACAUGCCAGUAAGGCCAGUAAAAGUUGUCCUCAUGAGAGCUCAUGAUGCACAGAAUACAGAAUUUCUACAUCCAGAAACUGGUGUGAAGUGAAACUGAUCCAUUUCUAUUUAUGGUAUAUGUUGUUUUUUCCUCUAUCCCUGGAGAAAGCAACUUUUCCCACUAACUAGUUGUCAUUUUCAGUGCCUCACUCUCAUACCCACCUUCUCCCCACAUUUAGUCAGUAGCUAUGUCUUAUAUUUCUGCUUUCAUCAUCUAUUUUUUAAACUCUCUGCUCAACUGCUGCAACUACACUGAAGUAGGCAUCAUCAGGAUUAUUAUCCUAGUUUGAUGGUUGCCCUUCCUCAAUACUCUCUUCACUACAAUCUGUUCUAAAUUCAAUUAUCAGAAUUAUCUUUCAAAAGCACAAGUCUAACCAUCGCCAUCAAAUUCCACAUUAUUCCAUAAAUUACCUCCAGGAUAAAAUAUAAAAUCCGAUUUGUCUUUUAAAUCUUUCAUAGCCAUGGCCACUUCUUGGAAAAAAUUUCUUAUUUCAUCCUAUGUUCCUUUCUUCCACAUAUUCAGCAAUACAGUGACACCGACCUCCUUUUUGCUCCUUUCACAAGAGAUUCCAUCUCCAUGUGUUUUGACUAGCUGGAAUUCUCUAUAUCUCUGCCAUUUGGUCCUCUUGGAUUUUUUCAGCUCUCACCUAAAAUUAUCCCAAAAUAAAACUUCAUGUUAACCCUUUGCAUAAUUUGACUCACUCUCUGAU